This 720-nucleotide ribosomal RNA is filed under the name Acinetobacter lwoffii. RNAcentral's name for it is "bacterial SSU rRNA". It matches the Rfam family "Bacterial small subunit ribosomal RNA", at positions 68 to 782 of the family's 1533-position model. The record is from RNAcentral. Lineage: Bacteria; Pseudomonadati; Pseudomonadota; Gammaproteobacteria; Moraxellales; Moraxellaceae.
GGGAAGAGUAGCUUGCUACAUUACCUAGCGGCGGACGGGUGAGUAAUGCUUAGGAAUCUGCCUAUUAGUGGGGGACAACAUCUCGAAAGGGAUGCUAAUACCGCAUACGUCCUACGGGAGAAAGCAGGGGACCUUCGGGCCUUGCGCUAAUAGAUGAGCCUAAGUCGGAUUAGCUAGUUGGUGGGGUAAAGGCCUACCAAGGCGACGAUCUGUAGCGGGUCUGAGAGGAUGAUCCGCCACACUGGGACUGAGACACGGCCCAGACUCCUACGGGAGGCAGCAGUGGGGAAUAUUGGACAAUGGGGGGAACCCUGAUCCAGCCAUGCCGCGUGUGUGAAGAAGGCCUUUUGGUUGUAAAGCACUUUAAGCGAGGAGGAGGCUACCGAGAUUAAUACUCUUGGAUAGUGGACGUUACUCGCAGAAUAAGCACCGGCUAACUCUGUGCCAGCAGCCGCGGUAAUACAGAGGGUGCAAGCGUUAAUCGGAUUUACUGGGCGUAAAGCGCGCGUAGGUGGCCAAUUAAGUCAAAUGUGAAAUCCCCGAGCUUAACUUGGGAAUUGCAUUCGAUACUGGUUGGCUAGAGUAUGGGAGAGGAUGGUAGAAUUCCAGGUGUAGCGGUGAAAUGCGUAGAGAUCUGGAGGAAUACCGAUGGCGAAGGCAGCCAUCUGGCCUAAUACUGACACUGAGGUGCGAAAGCAUGGGGGAGCAAACAGGAUUAGA